AACGUCGCAAGACCAAAGAGGGGGACCUUCGGGCCUCUUGCCAUCGGAUGUGCCCAGAUGGGAUUAGCUAGUAGGUGGGGUAACGGCUCACCUAGGCGACGAUCCCUAGCUGGUCUGAGAGGAUGACCAGCCACACUGGAACUGAGACACGGUCCAGACUCCUACGGGAGGCAGCAGUGGGGAAUAUUGCACAAUGGGCGCAAGCCUGAUGCAGCCAUGCCGCGUGUAUGAAGAAGGCCUUCGGGUUGUAAAGUACUUUCAGCGGGGAGGAAGGGAGUAAAGUUAAUACCUUUGCUCAUUGACGUUACCCGCAGAAGAAGCACCGGCUAGCUCCGUGCCAGCAGCCGCGGUAAUACGGAGGGUGCAAGCGUUAAUCGGAAUUACUGGGCGUAAAGCGCACGCAGGCGGUUUGUUAAGUCAGAUGUGAAAUCCCCGGGCUCAACCUGGGAACUGCAUCUGAUACUGGCAAGCUUGAGUCUCGUAGAGGGGGGUAGAAUUCCAGGUGUACCGGUGAAAUGCGUAGAGAUCUGGAGGAAUACCGGUGGCGAAGGCGGCCCCCUGGACGAAAACUGACGCUCAGGGUGCGAAAGCGUGGGGAGCAAACAG
This 606-nucleotide ribosomal RNA is filed under the name Enterobacteriaceae bacterium HGH0098. RNAcentral describes it as "bacterial SSU rRNA". It matches the Rfam family "Bacterial small subunit ribosomal RNA", at positions 173 to 775 of the family's 1533-position model. The record is from RNAcentral. Lineage: Bacteria; Pseudomonadati; Pseudomonadota; Gammaproteobacteria; Enterobacterales; Enterobacteriaceae.